Molecule: ribosomal RNA, 603 nt
Filed under: uncultured fungus
Lineage: Eukaryota; Fungi
Description: eukaryotic LSU rRNA
Rfam family: Eukaryotic large subunit ribosomal RNA
Source: RNAcentral
ACCCGCUGAACUUAAGCAUAUCAAUAAGCGGAGGAAAAGAAACCAACAGGGAUUGCCCUAGUAACGGCGAGUGAAGCGGCAACAGCUCAAAUUUGAAAUCUGGCGUCUUUGGCGUCCGAGUUGUAAUUUGCAGAGGGCGCUUUGGCAUUGGCAGCGGUCCAAGUUCCUUGGAACAGGACGUCACAGAGGGUGAGAAUCCCGUACGUGGUCGCUAGCCUUUACCGUGUAAAGCCCCUUCGACGAGUCGAGUUGUUUGGGAAUGCAGCUCUAAAUGGGAGGUAAAUUUCUUCUAAAGCUAAAUACUGGCCAGAGACCGAUAGCGCACAAGUAGAGUGAUCGAAAGAUGAAAAGCACUUUGGAAAGAGAGUUAAAAAGCACGUGAAAUUGUUGAAAGGGAAGCGCUUGCAGCCAGACUUGCCUGUAGUUGCUCAUCUAGGUUUUUAUCUAGUGCACUCUUCUAUAGGCAGGCCAGCAUCAGUUUGGGCGGUUGGAUAAAGGUCUCUGUCAUGUACCUCUCUUCGGGGAGAACUUAUAGGGGAGACGACAUGCAACCAGCCUGGACUGAGGUCCGCGCAUCUGCUAGGAUGCUGGCGUAAUGGCUGU